AGAGUUUGAUCAUGGCUCAGGAUGAACGCUAGCUACAGGCUUAACACAUGCAAGUCGAGGGGAAACGACAUCGAAAGCUUGCUUUUGAUGGGCGUCGACCGGCGCACGGGUGAGUAACGCGUAUCCAACCUGCCCACACUUGGGAGUAACCUUGCGAAAGUAAGACUAAUACCCAAUGACGUCUCUAGAAGACAUCUGAAAGAGAUUAAAGAUUAUCGGUGAUGGAUGGGGAUGCGUCUGAUUAGCUUGUUGGCGGGGUAACGGCCACCAAGGCGACGAUCAGUAGGGGUUCUGAGAGGAAGGUCCCCCACAUUGGAACUGAGACACGGUCCAAACUCCUACGGGAGGCA
Molecule: ribosomal RNA, 350 nt
Filed under: uncultured bacterium
Lineage: Bacteria
Description: bacterial SSU rRNA
Rfam family: Bacterial small subunit ribosomal RNA
Source: RNAcentral